RNAcentral lists this ribosomal RNA (433 nucleotides) under Acidovorax sp. F220. Its description in RNAcentral is "bacterial SSU rRNA". It matches the Rfam family "Bacterial small subunit ribosomal RNA", at positions 117 to 546 of the family's 1533-position model. The record is from RNAcentral. Lineage: Bacteria; Pseudomonadati; Pseudomonadota; Betaproteobacteria; Burkholderiales; Comamonadaceae.
AUCGGAACGUGCCCAAUCGUGGGGGAUAACGCAGCGAAAGCUGUGCUAAUACCGCAUACGAUCUACGGAUGAAAGCAGGGGACCGCAAGGCCUUGCGCGAGUGGAGCGGCCGAUGGCAGAUUAGGUAGUUGGUGAGGUAAAGGCUCACCAAGCCUUCGAUCUGUAGCUGGUCUGAGAGGACGACCAGCCACACUGGGACUGAGACACGGCCCAGACUCCUACGGGAGGCAGCAGUGGGGAAUUUUGGACAAUGGGCGAAAGCCUGAUCCAGCAAUGCCGCGUGCAGGAUGAAGGCCUUCGGGUUGUAAACUGCUUUUGUACGGAACGAAACGGCUCUUUCUAAUAAAGAGGGCUAAUGACGGUACCGUAAGAAUAAGCACCGGCUAACUACGUGCCAGCAGCCGCGGUAAUACGUAGGGUGCAAGCGUUAAUC